Molecule: ribosomal RNA, 443 nt
Filed under: uncultured bacterium
Lineage: Bacteria
Description: partial 16S ribosomal RNA
Rfam family: Bacterial small subunit ribosomal RNA
Source: RNAcentral
CCUACGGGAGGCAGCAGUGGGGAAUAUUGGGCAAUGGAGGAAACUCUGACCCAGCAACGCCGCGUGAGUGAAGAAGUAUUUCGGUAUGUAAAGCUCUAUCAGCAGGGAAGAAAGGAAUGACGGUACCUGACUAAGAAGCCCCGGCUAACUACGUGCCAGCAGCCGCGGUAAUACGUAGGGGGCAAGCGUUAUCCGGAUUUACUGGGUGUAAAGGGAGCGUAGACGGUUACGCAAGUCUGGAGUGAAAGGCGGGGGCCCAACCCCCGGACUGCUUUGGAAACUGUAUAACUGGAGUGCAGGGGAGGUAAGUGGAAUUCCUAGUGUAGCGGUGAAAUGCGUAGAUAUUAGGAGGAACACCAGUGGCGAAGGCGGCUUACUGGACUGUAACUGACGUUGAGGCUCGAAAGCGUGGGGAGCAAACAGGAUUAGAUACCCCAGUAGUC